CCUGUGCAGGAUGGGGUAGGGAACAGGCUGAUGUGACAGGUGGCUCCCCCUGUGCAGGAUGGGGUAGGGAACAGGCUGAUGUGACAGGCAGCUCUGUGCAGGAUGGGGUAGGGAACAGGCUGACGUGACAGGCGGCUCUCCCUGUGCAGGACAGGGUAGCACAAUCAACAAGCAUAACAUCAAUGAUGAUGUUUCUUAGAUUCCCAGAGCAUAAACCCAACGAAGACCUGGG
Oryctolagus cuniculus (rabbit) is the source of this 232-nucleotide non-coding RNA. The record is from RefSeq and is a predicted model, not a curated record. NCBI's taxonomy places the organism in Eukaryota, Metazoa, Chordata, Mammalia, Lagomorpha, Leporidae.